Molecule: ribosomal RNA, 491 nt
Filed under: uncultured bacterium
Lineage: Bacteria
Description: partial 16S ribosomal RNA
Rfam family: Bacterial small subunit ribosomal RNA
Source: RNAcentral
AGUGAACGCUGGCGGUAGGCCUAACACAUGCAAGUCGAACGGCAGCACAGUAAGAGCUUGCUCUUACGGGUGGCGAGUGGCGGACGGGUGAGGAAUACAUCGGAAUCUACUUUUUCGUGGGGGAUAACGUAGGGAAACUUACGCUAAUACCGCAUACGACCUACGGGUGAAAGCAGGGGAUCUUCGGACCUUGCGCGAUUGAAUGAGCCGAUGUCGGAUUAGCUAGUUGGCGGGGUAAAGGCCCACCAAGGCGACGAUCCGUAGCUGGUCUGAGAGGAUGAUCAGCCACACUGGAACUGAGACACGGUCCAGACUCCUACGGGAGGCAGCAGUGGGGAAUAUUGGACAAUGGGCGCAAGCCUGAUCCAGCCAUACCGCGUGGGUGAAGAAGGCCUUCGGGUUGUAAAGCCCUUUAGUUGGGAAAGAAAAGCAGCAGGUUAAUACCCCGCUGUUCUGACGGUACCCAAAGAAUAAGCACCGGCUAACUUCGU